UACAGAGACUGCAAGCGUUAUUCGGAUUCACUGGGCGUAAAGGGUGCGCAGGCGGCCAAGUGUGUGAGGCGUGAAAGCCUGGAGCUUAACUCCAGAAUUGCACCUCAAACUACAUGGCUAGAGCAUUGGAGAGGGUAGCAGAAUUCACGGUGUAGCAGUGAAAUGCGUAGAUAUCGUGAGGAAUACCAGAGGCGAAGGCGGCUACCUGGACAAUUGCUGACGCUCAGGCACGAAAGCGUGGGGAGCGAACAGG
This 253-nucleotide ribosomal RNA is filed under the name uncultured bacterium. Its description in RNAcentral is "partial 16S ribosomal RNA". It matches the Rfam family "Bacterial small subunit ribosomal RNA", at positions 524 to 776 of the family's 1533-position model. The record is from RNAcentral.